UGAUUCUUUCUUCUGCCAUCUCAAAUAUAUUGUGGAUUCCUUUACUAUUACAUCUGAGCUGAGGUGGGUUUUUUUGUGAAAUGUUUGUUUCUCUACUUUCAAUCAUCAAAGAAUAUGAAGCAUCAAGUUGCUACUUAUCACCCACAGGGAUUAGUAGACCCAUUCCGCUCAAUUUAUUCUCUCCUUGGAAUUUAAUUUAGAAGCAUCGAUAUACUCUUAAAUGUAUAAGAAUUUAUAUCACUCAUAAUUAAAUAUCACUGAAAAAUUUGUUUUUCAAUGUAGUUAAUAUUUGUCAUUCAAAGAUUGUUCCUUUAUAUAUUAGAGAAUCAGGAAUAAAAGUAGUCUACUCAACUCUCCCUGGUUGGUAGUGGGUGAACAAGAGGAGAAAGAAAAUUGUUCAUUCUCAAUGGUAUCAUAUAGUGAAAAUAAUUCUGUUUCCUCAAUAAAGGAUCAUGAUGGUACACAGGUCUAUAUACAUGACUUUAGUCUCAGUCAUGCCAAAAAGAUUUUAUCCAGGUAGAACAAAGAAGGUGAUUUUUAUAAUAAUCUUAUAAUUUUAUUAAUUGCAAGCUUCUACUUUCAUGAUUAUCGCUUAAGAAGUGACUUGCUCGUGCUCCUUGUUUAGUGGAUAUAUUGUUUCCUAAAUUUAACUAGCAAAUAAUUCUCUCUAUCUACAACUUCUCCCAGAAUGCUAAAGAAAGACUAAAAAGGAUGAAUCUUAAAUGCAUGUAUUUAUAGGCAAAAUAAUGAUGACAUGAAGUUUAAAUCGGUUUUCCAAUGGAGGCAAUAAAUGUAUGUUCAGAGUCUUGCCCUCAAGGUUAGUAGCAUACCUCUAUGUCUGGCUGACCAGAGUUUUGGACACAUCUUGUGACCAUGGGACAAAACUACUUUAUCUAGUUGUGGAAUAAAUUCAUUAGCAAUAUGCAUUUAUAAGUUGCACAGUUCAUGUACUUGAUAGUAACAGAUUGGGCUGAUUAUAAAUGAAUCAUUCGGUUAUGCCUUACUGCUUCCAGGCAGUCCCCAAACAUGCUUGGUACUUCUGCUCUCAUAGCUCCCUAGAAUAUACUCCUUUUCUUUCUCCUUUCUUCCCUAUGCUUCCAUCUAUACCUCUCUCCUAGCCAAGUAAACUUUUUUCUUUUUAUUAAAGUAUAGUUGAUUUACAGUGUUGUGUUAAUUCCUGCUCCAAGUAAACUUUUUUUUUUUUUUUUUUUUGUCAUUUUUGGCUGCCUCAUGUCAUAUGGAGUUCCCGGGCCAGGGAUGAGAUCCAAGCCACAGUCACGACUUAAGCCUCAGCUGUGGCAGCACUGUUCCUUACCCGGGCCAGGGAUGGAAUCUGAGUCCCAGUGCUCCCAGGACGCCCCAACCACCUUGCACCACAGCGGAAACUCCUCCAGGUAAACUUCUAACUCAUCUUUGUAGUUUUGAAAUAUCUGUAGAUUCUUUUCUAGUCGUCUCACCUUUCCCCAGCCAUUUCCACUCUUCAUUCUAAAGAACAUUAAUUUUUCUUUCCACAUACUCAGCAAUUGUGUUGUCACCAGUAGUAUUUGUAUUUGUGGGCUCCUUAAAGGAGAGAUUAUUAUGUGUUUAACAUGUAGCAGACACUUAAGAGCUGUUUAUUGAAUGAAGGAUUAUAUGAAUACUUAUAAUUUCAUCAUUUUCAUUUUUGUUACAUUUAAAUAAAUGUUUGUUUCAUACUUAGAUAAAUUCUGAAAGACCUAUAGAUAGAUUUAGGUAGCCUAAAAGGAGGCAAAAGAUCUGAAAUUUUACUCUGAAAAUUGUAAUACACUGAUAAAAGAAAUCAAAGACUACACAAACAAGUGGAAAGAUAUACUGUGUUCUUGGAUUAGAAGGAUCAAUAUUGUUAAAAUGACCAUCUACCCAAGGCAAUCUAGCAAUUCAGUGUAAUCCUAUCAGAUUACCAAUGGCAUUUUCAUAGAACUAGAACAAAUGGUUUUUAAUUUGUAUAUAAAAUAAAAAAGGCUCUGAACAGCCAAAACAAUCUUGAGAAAGAAAAGCAGAACUUGAAUAAUCACACUCCCUGACUUCAGACUAUACUACAAAGCUACAGUAAUCAAAACAGUAUGAUGUUGGCAGAAAAACAGAAAUAUAGAUCAAUGAAACAAAAUAGAUUACCCAGAAAUAAACCCAUGCACCUGUGGUCAAUUAAUCUAUAACAAAGGAGGCAAGAAUAUACAAUGGAGAAAAGACAGUCUCCUCAAUAAGAGGUGCUAAGAAAACUGGACAGCUACAUGUAAAAGAAUGAAAUUAGAACAUUCUCAACAUCACAUACAAAAAUAAACUCAAAAUUGGAGUUCCCAUUGUGGUGCAAUGAAAACAAAUCCCACUAGUAACCAUGAGGUUGCAGGUUUGAUCCCUGGCCUCACUCAAUGGGUUAAGGAUCUGGCAUUGCCACGAGCUCUGAUGUAGGUUGCAGACAUGGCUCGGAUCCCACAUUGCUGUGGCUGUGGCAUAGGCUGGUGGAUGUAGCUCCAAUGUGACCCCUACCCUGGGAACCUCCUUAUGCUGCAGGUGUGGCU
Molecule: long non-coding RNA, 2537 nt
Filed under: Sus scrofa (pig)
Lineage: Eukaryota; Metazoa; Chordata; Mammalia; Artiodactyla; Suidae
Description: lncRNA (ENSSSCG00035027853.1)
Source: RNAcentral